Lactuca sativa (garden lettuce) is the source of this 465-nucleotide non-coding RNA. The record is from RefSeq and is a predicted model, not a curated record. Lineage: Eukaryota; Viridiplantae; Streptophyta; Magnoliopsida; Asterales; Asteraceae.
UCAUGUAAAAUCGUCUGAUUCGGUCGUUCCUAAAAAAGAGACUGAGAAAUUUCUCCACUUUGCCCUGAAGCUUUGAACUCCCCCCAUCAUGAACGACACAACGCUCUCUCAUCCAUCGGCCCUUCCUAGCCUACAACCUCCUUCCUUCUUCGUCUCCUUCUUCCGUCGGAGCCGACCAUUGAAUCAAUUUAUUCUUCCUUUAAUUUUUGCAGGAGAGAGAAUAUUGAUUGGCCGGGAGAAAGAUAGAAAAGGAGAACGUGUUUGCUUUGAUUUUUUCUGCGAUGGAGUAAUACCAGGGAGAGGAGUUUGAGGAUGUUUCAAAUGAUGGUGAAGUAUUGUAUUGAAAGUCAAAGUUGGUGUUCCAAAUUGCUUUGUAAUUCGAUUGAAAAAAUAAUUCAUGUGUUUUUAUUAUGUUCUCUUUGUGUAUGUGUAUGUAUGAUCAAUGUUCAUUGCCUUUUCUGUUAA